RNAcentral lists this ribosomal RNA (170 nucleotides) under Cronobacter sakazakii. RNAcentral describes it as "partial 23S ribosomal RNA". It matches the Rfam family "Bacterial large subunit ribosomal RNA", at positions 1 to 162 of the family's 2925-position model. The record is from RNAcentral. Lineage: Bacteria; Pseudomonadati; Pseudomonadota; Gammaproteobacteria; Enterobacterales; Enterobacteriaceae.
GGGUUGUGAGGUUAAGCGAACAAGCGUACACGGUGGAUGCCCUGGCAGUCAGAGGCGAUGAAGGACGUGCUAAUCUGCGAAAAGCGCCGGUAAGGUGAUAUGAACCGUUAUAACCGGCGAUGUCCGAAUGGGGAAACCCGGUGCACUUUGGUGCAUCAUCGUUAGCUGAA